Molecule: long non-coding RNA, 2169 nt
Organism: Panicum virgatum (switchgrass)
Lineage: Eukaryota; Viridiplantae; Streptophyta; Magnoliopsida; Poales; Poaceae
Exons: 4
Source: RefSeq, a predicted model, not a curated record
CAAUCAACGUACUCUGUCGUCAGAUCGGCAACGGACGUUUGCUGUGCGCCCGCCGCUUUGUGUAGUUAUUAUCGGGUCUGUAAUGUGUGAGCAACCCAUUUGGACUGUGGAGCUGUGGCUGUGGGGGAUUCAACUGAGUGCCCGUUCCAUUUCCACCCUCGUCUUUGUUGUCAUCGUCAAUCGAGGGGGAUGCGAAUGAAUCGAUGAGUGUCCUCGUUGGAAUCGGCGGCGGCGGCGGCGGGUGAAUCAGCUAGCUCGUGGACGGCAGAACACCUUGUGGCACCAGGCUGAAGACGUUGGGAAGAAAGCGAGCCUGACUAGAUCUGCUGCCGGCGGCCAUCUAGCCGCCCCUGCAAAUCCAAAGCAGGGACGCCUUGUCCUCUCCGCCAGUUCGUCUAAGAUCACCUGAGGAGAGACAGUGGAAGAGGAACCUUGUUCCUGGAGUUACGUUGUUCCCAUGGUUGGUGGAUUAGGCGUAGGGGUUCAUUUUAUCAAGAUGCCAUCUGUGCUCCGGAGUUGAUAUGUUGAGCCAGCCCUCCCUAUUCAGCAACCCCACCAUGGCCGCUUCCUCCUCUAAUGAGUUAUGCCUUCCCACAGAGGACUCUCUCAAGGGCGAUGGUCCUGCCAGUGAGUUUCUUUUGAUGAAGAUCUGCAUGGUGCAUUUAGCAGGUUCUAUGGUAAACUUGCAUAGUCAUCGUAUUAAAUUUACAGGCAAAAUUUGUGUAAUUUCCAUAUUACUCCUGCGUAAGUUUUAUAGCAUAGUAGAUUAUAUGUCUCUGAAUUAUUUGGUCCAGUAAAGUUAUAUAGUAGUACUAUGAGCUUGUAUUGUUAUGAAGACCAAGUAGUUAAAUAUAAUUUCCAUAUUAUUGUGUUUAGACUUGUAAUGCUUUCAUCUCGUCAUAUCUCAUCAUAUCUGUGUUUGUUUUUAUCUGACAUGUCCUCUGUGCUUCCAGAUCUAUUGACCAUUGGUUUUCACUCUCAAUUUUUUUCUUCUUAGCCUACUUGAAAGAUCAUUCAUGUAAAUAUAUACAUAUUAUUGGGACCAAUUGAAAACUUAACAAUAAUGUAUAUAAAUAUCACACAUCUAGGACUUAUGUAAUUUCAGGUAAUUUUUUUAACAUAGGUAAUAAGAGUUGAGCUUUACAUCUUCCGUUUAAUUUAGCUUGGCUAUAUUUUUUCAGCAUCUCUUAUUUUUUAUAGAUAGGCUCAUUUUUCUUUCUUUUUAAUACAUAUAUCAUGUGUCUAUAUUGGACAAUUCACUAGAAGUUCAGUGCUUGCCACUUUAAAACCUCACUUGUAAUUGUAGUGUCUAUGAAUGUAAAACUACUUGCAAAUUCUGUAAUUUUAAUUUUUUAUUAUUUUUUGCUAGCAAAUUAUAACAAAUAAGAGUGUUUAUACUUAUAUAACAUUGCAACUUCUAGAAUAUGCUUGUUCUGUUAGGUUCUACGGUUAUCUACAUGUAGUUGACUCUGUCAAUUGUUAUAUAUAACUUCUAGGAUUGGAUGCAUGAUGCAAAUUUUGAGAAGAAUCCAUGAGCUAUCUUCAAAGUAAUAAAGCUCCUAUUAUCUCUUGUUACUGUUGGUCCGUAUACUUGUCGGUGGUGAUCUUUUAGUACAUCAGGAUCUGAUUCUGAAAAUGAGACAUGCAUUUGUGAUACUCUUUUACUUGUAGUUAUGUUCUUGUUUUGUUCGGCUCAGAUAUCUAGAUCUUGUUUUGCUUACCUGUGUUUUGCAUAUACUAAAAUGGCCUGUCAGCAGGAUUAGAUUUUUCUUAUGCAAUAGUGUCUUUCUGUAAUUCUUACCUCCCUUAAGCCUGAAUGCCUUGCAUGAGUCGACCCUAUGUGAAUGUGGAGAAGGGAUUCUUGAAACUGGACACACUAUAUGUCGGGUAAUUUUACAUCAUGUAUACUUGGACAUUCCUUUUGCUUGCUGUCAAUUUCUGUUAUGAAGAAACACAGGUUGGCAGCAGCAGGAGGAAGAGGGAACAGAUGAGACCCUAUAUUAUAUAGAAAGUUACAUGUAUGUAAUUUGAGUUGCAUCACUCUUAGCCCAUGUGAUUUUAGUCUUAUUUUAUAGAACUUGCAGCGAAUUGUGACUCUUGUAAUAAAAUUUUACUUGUAAAUUUUUGUAUGUACAAAAAUUUUGAAUGUGACCUUUUGUUUGGUUGUUA